Molecule: long non-coding RNA, 208 nt
Filed under: Brassica napus (rape)
Lineage: Eukaryota; Viridiplantae; Streptophyta; Magnoliopsida; Brassicales; Brassicaceae
Description: long non-coding RNA (BNAP_LNC009656)
Source: RNAcentral
GGACUGAGUUUCGUUACGAAGAAUUUAUCAUAUGAUUUCUGACUGUGGGCUAUACGAUAAUUAUCCUCUUAAUAGUCACACAAUGUUUUUAGACAAAUCGUAGAUUGUCGUUUAGCCGUUAAGUAAUGGAGCGAUGGUUCUCAAAUGGUUUGGCUUGGGGUGAAGGAUGUGUUCACUCAGAUAGCCAAGGAUGUUGUAGGUCAAGGAU